This is a non-coding RNA of Phrynosoma platyrhinos (Desert horned lizard), 72 nucleotides long. The record is from the annotation of a GenBank genome assembly. NCBI's taxonomy places the organism in Eukaryota, Metazoa, Chordata, Lepidosauria, Squamata, Phrynosomatidae.
GCCCGUGUGGUGUAGUGGUUUGAGCACUGGACUACAAGUCUCGAGAUCAGGGUUUGAUUCCCUGCUCAGCCA